UACGUAGGGGGCAAGCGUUGUCCGGAAUUAUUGGGCGUAAAGGGCGCGUAGGCGGCGUGACAAGUCACUUGUGAAAUCUCCGGGCUUAACUCGGAACGGUCAAGUGAUACUGUCGUGCUAGAGUACAGAAGGGGCAACUGGAAUUCUCGGUGUAGCGGUGAAAUGCGUAGAUAUCGAGAGGAACACCUGCGGCGAAGGCGGGUUGCUGGGCUGAUACUGACGCUGAGGCGCGAAAGCCAGGGGAGCGAACAGG
RNAcentral lists this ribosomal RNA (253 nucleotides) under uncultured bacterium. RNAcentral describes it as "partial 16S ribosomal RNA". It matches the Rfam family "Bacterial small subunit ribosomal RNA", at positions 524 to 776 of the family's 1533-position model. The record is from RNAcentral.